This 253-nucleotide ribosomal RNA is filed under the name uncultured bacterium. Its description in RNAcentral is "partial 16S ribosomal RNA". It matches the Rfam family "Bacterial small subunit ribosomal RNA", at positions 524 to 776 of the family's 1533-position model. The record is from RNAcentral.
UACGGAGGGUGCGAGCGUUGUCCGGAAUCAUUGGGCGUAAAGGGCGCGUAGGUGGCGGGACAAGCGUGCGGUGAAAGCCUGGGGCUCAACCCCGGGUCGGCCGUGCGAACUGUUUUGCUUGAGCACUGUAGAGGCAGGCGGAAUUCCGGGUGUAGCGGUGGAAUGCGUAGAGAUCCGGAAGAACACCGGUGGCGAAGGCGGCCUGCUGGGGUAAUGCUGACACUGAUGCGCGACAGCGUGGGGAGCAAACAGG